Molecule: ribosomal RNA, 466 nt
Filed under: uncultured bacterium
Lineage: Bacteria
Description: bacterial SSU rRNA
Rfam family: Bacterial small subunit ribosomal RNA
Source: RNAcentral
UUGCCAGACUCCUACGGGAGGCAGCAGUGAGGAAUAUUGGUCAAUGGGCGAGAGCCUGAACCAGCCAAGUCGCGUGAGGGAAGACGGUCCUAUGGAUUGUAAACCUCUUUUGCCGGGGAGCAAAAAGCGGUACGUGUACCGCAUCGAGAGUACCCGGAGAAAAAGCAUCGGCUAACUCCGUGCCAGCAGCCGCGGUAAUACGGAGGAUGCGAGCGUUAUCCGGAUUUAUUGGGUUUAAAGGGUGCGUAGGCGGGCUUUUAAGUCAGCGGUAAAAAUUCGGGGCUCAACCCCGUCCGGCCGUUGAAACUGGGGGCCUUGAGUGGGCGAGAAGAAGGCGGAAUGCGUGGUGUAGCGGUGAAAUGCAUAGAUAUCACGCAGAACCCCGAUUGCGAAGGCAGCCUUCCGGCGCCCUACUGACGCUGAGGCACGAAAGUGCGGGGAUCGAACAGGAUUAGAUACCCCAGUA